AUAGGGGAGCCGAAGGGAAACCGAGUCUUAACUGGGCGUUAAGUUGCAGGGUAUAGACCCGAAACCCGGUGAUCUAGCCAUGGGCAGGUUGAAGGUUGGGUAACACUAACUGGAGGACCGAACCGACUAAUGUUGAAAAAUUAGCGGAUGACCUGUGGCUGGGGGUGAAAGGCCAAUCAAACCGGGAGAUAGCUGGUUCUCCCCGAAAGCUAUUUAGGUAGCGCCUCGUGAACUCAUCUUCGGGGGUAGAGCACUGUUUCGGCUAGGGGGUCAUCCCGACUUACCAACCCGAUGCAAACUGCGAAUACCGAAGAAUGUUAUCACGGGAGACACACGGCGGGUGCUAACGUCCGUCGUGAAGAGGGAAACAACCCAGACCGCCAGCUAAGGUCCCAAAGUCAUGGUUAAGUGGGAAACGAUGUGGGAAGGCCCAGACAGCCAGGAUGUUGGCUUAGAAGCAGCCAUCAUUUAAAGAAAGCGUAAUAGCUCACUGGUCGAGUCGGCCUGCGCGGAAGAUGUAACGGGGCUAAACCAUGCACCGAAGCUGCGGCAGCGACGCUUAUGCGUUGUUGGGUAGGGGAGCGUUCUGUAAGCCGUUGAAGGUGUGCUGUGAGGCAUGCUGGAGGUAUCAGAAGUGCGAAUGCUGACAUAAGUAACGAUAAAGCGGGUGAAAAGCCCGCUCGCCGGAAGACCAA
This 695-nucleotide ribosomal RNA is filed under the name Pluralibacter gergoviae. Its description in RNAcentral is "bacterial LSU rRNA". It matches the Rfam family "Bacterial large subunit ribosomal RNA", at positions 657 to 1348 of the family's 2925-position model. The record is from RNAcentral. Lineage: Bacteria; Pseudomonadati; Pseudomonadota; Gammaproteobacteria; Enterobacterales; Enterobacteriaceae.